RNAcentral lists this transfer RNA (72 nucleotides) under Phycisphaerales bacterium. Its description in RNAcentral is "tRNA-Ala". It matches the Rfam family "tRNA". From Rfam's summary of the family: Transfer RNA (tRNA) molecules are approximately 80 nucleotides in length. Their secondary structure includes four short double-helical elements and three loops (D, anti-codon, and T loops). Further hydrogen bonds mediate the characteristic L-shaped molecular structure. tRNAs have two regions of fundamental functional importance: the anti-codon, which is responsible for specific mRNA codon recognition, and the 3' end, to which the tRNAs corresponding amino acid is attached (by aminoacyl-tRNA synthetases). tRNAs cope with the degeneracy of the genetic code in two manners: having more than one tRNA (with a specific anti-codon) for a particular amino acid; and 'wobble' base-pairing, i.e. permitting non-standard base-pairing at the 3rd anti-codon position. The record is from RNAcentral. Lineage: Bacteria; Pseudomonadati; Planctomycetota; Phycisphaerae; Phycisphaerales.
GGGGCGGUAGCUCAAUGGGAGAGCACUAGCUUUGCAAGCUAGGGGUUGCCGGUUCGAGUCCGGUCCGCUCCA